This is a long non-coding RNA of Macaca fascicularis (crab-eating macaque), 1572 nucleotides long. NCBI's taxonomy places the organism in Eukaryota, Metazoa, Chordata, Mammalia, Primates, Cercopithecidae. The record is from Ensembl.
GAUUUGCAAACCCAGAUAGAUUAAAAAAAAAGAAAAAAAAGAAGCAAAACUACACACAAAAGCAAGAACAAAAGUAAAAAGACCACAUCGUUAUUUCUUCCAAUCUCUGAUUGAGAUUUAGCAUUUUCCUCCACUGGGAACAUAAGCGCUUUCCUAUCAGCCACUGCAUCUUUAUUUCAUCUCGCAGCUUCUUCUGCAGGAAUGACUUCGUUCUACCACCCUUUGCUGCCAUCUCAGGACGUCGGGAAGCAAAGAGAUGUGUCGGCUUGAUCAGCACACAGGUCAUUCCUAGAGAGAUCAGCUUAGUCACGGAGCAGGCAGGAACAGGCACUCUGGAGGGGAGAGGCAGGCCCAGGAAGGUGAGUCAAGGCAGGGAUUGAAACUGCAGGAUGAGGGAGUCAGCGCCUGAGAACCCACUGGGCGGAGUUAGAUAAGGAGAAACACGCGGAAUCCAGAGUUUAAAUGGAGCCUGGGGUUUGUAAAGAGGAGUCAGGCGUUCUUUACCUUGUCAAUUCCGACUGCUUUGUGCACAGCUGACUCAGAGACUGGGUGGGGCUGCCGUCCUGGGUGAAACCAAACCGAUUAGAAAGGCGGCUGGGGCCUCCAGAUCCUGCGGGCCGCACCCUCCCAGCAUGAAGGGUAUGCUUCAUCUGUGAAACCAACUCUCCUUCGUGAAGGAGAAAUGCCCAUUUUAAAGAAAAUCGCUUCACAGCUGAGGAGGCAUGAUGUUUGCAUGCAACAGAGGCAGCAUAAAAGUUCUUAAACAAUCUCUGUGCCAAGAACCUCUUUAGCAGUCUGGUGAAGCCUGUGGGCCCCUUCUAACAAUAAUAUUUUUAAAUCCAUAACAUAAAUACAUCGGGCACCAAGGAAACCAGUUAUAUUGAAAUAGCUAUCAAAGGAAACCAAAUAUCUUGAAAUACAGUUAUCAAAAUAUUGAAGUAAUUGUGAUCUAGUCCUACGUGUGCCUCUUGAUUAACUCUUUAAGUAACAAGGUCUAGUACAAUUCAGAAGUCCAUAGUACUCACACCAAUGACAUUUUAAGGCAUUUGUCACAACCGCAACGUGUUGUGGGGACAUUUGCAUUUUCUGUUGGUGACCAAGGGGCAUUCAUGUUAUACCUUUAUUGAAAGAACAGUGUGGCCCCCUGCAUCUUGUGGAAUAGUGGGAUGAUUACAAGGGGAGUUUCGCUAGAAAGCAGCAUUCAUUGAUGUUGCUGAUGGACUUACGGGAGUCAAACAUUCCAAUUUUCAAAUUCAGAGCUGUGAUACUGGCUGGGCCUGGCGGCUCACGCCUGUAAUCCCAGCACUUUGGGAGGCCAAGGCGGGUGAAUCACUUGAGGUCAGGAGUUCAAGACCAGCCUGGUCAACAUGGUGAAACCCCAUCUCUACUAAAAGUACAAAAAUUAGCCGGGCGUGGUGGCAUGCACCUGUAAUCCUAGCUACUCAGGAGGCUGAGGCAGGAGAAUUGCUUGAACCCGGGAGAUGGAGGUUGCAGUGAGCCGAGAUCAUGCCGCUGCACGAUUGCACUCCAGCUUGGGUGACAGAGCAAGACUCCACCAAAAAAAAAAAAAAA